Long non-coding RNA from Gossypium arboreum, 490 nucleotides. RefSeq lists it as uncharacterized. The record is from RefSeq and is a predicted model, not a curated record. NCBI's taxonomy places the organism in Eukaryota, Viridiplantae, Streptophyta, Magnoliopsida, Malvales, Malvaceae. The transcript has 2 exons.
UUCGGUCUAGGUUCCGGCGAACCGUCACCGUGCCGUCCGCUGCUCCGGCCACCGUAUACGGUGGCCGGAAAUCACCCGAGGAAGAGUGGGCGGUGCUGGCAGAAAUCGGUAGUGGAGCAGAGGGGAGCACAUGCUGGCGUCGGUGGUGGAGCAGAGGGGAGCACCUGCUGCGGCUAGGGUUCUCUUAGUUCUUCCUUCCCUUUUUAGUCAUUGUGGGCUAGGGUUUUGGUUCUGGGUAGUAGAUUUGGGCUUAUUGGGCUUAGUUAAAUUUGGCCUGUACAAAUAUGUCAUAAAUGCUUUGAUUACAAAAACCCAAAAUUCUCAGCAGCAAAUUCUUCCUGUUCCAUUUCAUUCAUGUUCCCCAAAUUCCAGAAAUUUGCUGCUGCUGUUGUUGUUGUUCCAAAUUUGGGGUUUCACCUAUGUCCUUUAAUUUUUAUUGUUUGUAUUUAUUCUUUUGGUAGCCAAUAAGGAUUCAUUCCACAAUUAUUUA